This is a transfer RNA of Botryobasidium botryosum FD-172 SS1, 84 nucleotides long. It matches the Rfam family "tRNA". From Rfam's summary of the family: Transfer RNA (tRNA) molecules are approximately 80 nucleotides in length. The record is from Rfam. Lineage: Eukaryota; Fungi; Basidiomycota; Agaricomycetes; Cantharellales; Botryobasidiaceae.
GGGCGAGUAGCUUAUCGGAAGCACCAGCUUUCUCACGCAAUCGAUGAGAUCACUUGUACGGAGGUUCAAAUCCUCCCUCGUCCA